This 579-nucleotide long non-coding RNA is filed under the name Danio rerio (zebrafish). RNAcentral's name for it is "lncRNA si:dkey-172o7.1 (ENSDARG00000096414.2)". The record is from RNAcentral. Lineage: Eukaryota; Metazoa; Chordata; Actinopteri; Cypriniformes; Danionidae.
CCAGUUUCUCAUCCAGAGUCACAGCCUGGAGCCAGAGAGACAAUCCUGCAAGACGCCAGAUCGCCUGGAACUGCUUUAGUCCAACGCUUCCAAUGAACCGCUAGAGGAACAAAGACACUUGAGCUGUCACAGCCGGUGCACAGCUUCAGCAAGAAAACCACAAUCCAGUGUGCUAUUGUUGUGCUUCACUGCUUGGCUGUCAGAAUCGGGAUUACAGAGAUGUUUAGAGUGUCAUCAUCACACUUCAGCCCCCCUGGCAUGGCUCACAUUAAGCAGGACAGUUAGGGAAUGAUGGGACUGGCAUCACCGCGUUUCUUCGAGGAAAGUGACCUUGUUUUUUUUCUGUCUCUUCAUCUCAGGAAAGUGUUCUCCCAGAGGAAGAUCACAUUGCUUAAAGGUUGCUCUGAUAUAGCCUAAUAGAGGUCUCGGUAGCUUGUUUAAGAUGGCCUAAAAUCAUUGUGGAGUAAUGCCACUCACGCAAUGCUGCUUGUUUAAACUACUUAUUCAAAAUGAGUUGAAAAAACACUUUUUUUUUAUUUUGUUUUUGUUUGGGAUAAUAAAAAAAGCAUUGUUCAAACC